This 253-nucleotide ribosomal RNA is filed under the name uncultured bacterium. RNAcentral describes it as "partial 16S ribosomal RNA". It matches the Rfam family "Bacterial small subunit ribosomal RNA", at positions 524 to 776 of the family's 1533-position model. The record is from RNAcentral.
UACGUAGGGUGCAAGCGUUGUCCGGAAUUAUUGGGCGUAAAGAGCUCGUAGGCGGUCUGUCGCGUCUGCUGUGAAAACUCGAGGCUCAACCUCGAGACGCCGGUUGAAACCAUCAGGCUAGAGUCCGGAAGAGGAGAGUGGAAUUCCCGGUGUAGCGGUGAAAUGCGCAGAUAUCGGGAAGAACACCCGUGGCUAAGGCGGCUCUCUAGUACGGUACUGACGCUGAGACGCGAAAGCGUGGGGAGCGAACAGG